This 520-nucleotide long non-coding RNA is filed under the name Gallus gallus (chicken). Lineage: Eukaryota; Metazoa; Chordata; Aves; Galliformes; Phasianidae. The record is from RNAcentral.
GUAAAAUAUGUACAGAUGAAGAAACUCACCAAACCAGAGAACGUAAGCAUCUGCAUGACCAGGGUGAAGAGUGUGGGAGCAAUCCUUUUCAGUGGUGCUGGCAUCCAGUCUCAGCUGCUUGAACUACACGGAGGUACAUUUACAGAAAUGAAAAUAAGAAUCACAACGAACACUUUGCAACAAAAAUACACCUUUAUUGAACUUUGACAUUUAUAUCAUUUCUAAAUAAAAUAUGUUGUGUUAUUUUAGGCAUCUUUUAAACUGGCAAGCACUUCAAGAAGUGGUAUAUAAAUAUGGCACGUUUGUAUGUGUAUCUCAGGGGUUAAUUAUGCUAGUACAUAGAAUUAUCUUUCAAAAGAAUAUUAGCAAUUACCAUACUGGAAGCAUUAUAAUUUUUUUUUAGUGGUGCUUUAGAUAACACGUGUAUUCCUUCUCAGCAGAGAAAAAGGCCCAAAAGUACUCUGUGGUCUUAUCUCUCGAUCCUAAUUUAAGGCUGUAAAAGAAGAGUAUCCAAAUGAAC